GGGGGUAUAGCUCAGUGGUAGAGUGUGUGCACGCCCAAGGUCCUGGGUUCAAUCCCUGAUACCUCCA
Molecule: transfer RNA, 67 nt
Filed under: Camelus bactrianus (Bactrian camel)
Lineage: Eukaryota; Metazoa; Chordata; Mammalia; Artiodactyla; Camelidae
Also listed under: 3 other names
Rfam family: tRNA
About the family: Transfer RNA (tRNA) molecules are approximately 80 nucleotides in length. Their secondary structure includes four short double-helical elements and three loops (D, anti-codon, and T loops).
Source: Rfam by way of RNAcentral